GUUUAUAUAGUUUAUACAAAACAUUACAUUUUCACUGUAAAAUUGAAAUUAUUUUCUAUAAAUU
RNAcentral lists this transfer RNA (64 nucleotides) under Cryptolestes ferrugineus. RNAcentral describes it as "tRNA-Glu". The record is from RNAcentral. Lineage: Eukaryota; Metazoa; Arthropoda; Insecta; Coleoptera; Laemophloeidae.